Molecule: ribosomal RNA, 494 nt
Filed under: uncultured bacterium
Lineage: Bacteria
Description: partial 16S ribosomal RNA
Rfam family: Bacterial small subunit ribosomal RNA
Source: RNAcentral
GACGAACGCUGGCGGCGUGCUUAACACAUGCAAGUCGAACGGUGAAGCGCCUUCCUUUUUGGUGGGUGUGGAUGAGUGGCGAACGGGUGAGUAACACGUGAGUAACCUGCCCCCUUCUUCUGGAUAACCGCAUGAAAGUGUGGCUAAUACGGGAUAUUCUGGGUCUGUCGCAUGAUGGGUCUGGGAAAGAUAUUGUUUCGGUGGGGGAUGGGCUCGCGGCCUAUCAGCUUGUUGGUGGGGUGAUGGCCUACCAAGGCGGUGACGGGUAGCCGGCCUGAGAGGGUGGACUGUCACACUGGGACUGAUACACGGACAAGACUCCUACGGGAGGCAGCAGUGGGGAAUAGUGCACAAUGGGCGCAAGCCUGAUGCAGCGACGCCGCGUGAGGGAUGGAGGCCUUCGGGUUGUGAACCUCUUUCGCCAGUGAAGCAGGCCUGCCUCGUUUGUGGGUGGGUUGACGGUAGCUGGAUAAGAAGCGCCGGCUAACUACGUG